This is a long non-coding RNA of Ctenopharyngodon idella (grass carp), 676 nucleotides long. RefSeq lists it as uncharacterized. The transcript has 7 exons. Lineage: Eukaryota; Metazoa; Chordata; Actinopteri; Cypriniformes; Xenocyprididae. The record is from RefSeq and is a predicted model, not a curated record.
UCUCAACAAACUCAACUAGCACAAAAGUCUCAGCAGUCACGUCUUCUGUCAGGCUCAUCAAAUGGAUUCAGACUAUGAAAAUGUUUCAGUUGCUUCAGAUGAAAACGGCUUUCAAUACAACGGCAACUCCACUGAAGAGCAAGAAAAUGAGAGGAAAGUCUGUCCUCCUAAAUGGACUAAAGUUCAUCUGAUUGUUUUGGCUGUUUCUCUGGUUUUUGCUCUUGGGGGUCUCUGUAUUCUGGGUAUACUGUAUGCCCGGCUUUCAGUGAAACUGUCUGCCCAGGAGACUAAGAGCACACUCAUGGUGAGAGAGCUUACUGACAACUACACCAGAGUUAGAGAACAUCUCCGCACUAAAGACAUCAUGGUGAGAGAGCUUACUGACAACUACACCAGAGUUAGAGAACAUCUCCGCACUAAAGACAUUCCAGAUUCACACAUAUCUGUAUCUGGAUCAGUAAUGGAAGGAGAGGUUAAGGAACUUAUGGCUAACUACACCAGAGUUAGAGAACAACUGUCCUUUUACGAAGCAUUCACAGCUCAGUCUUUGAACUGUGAAAUGAUCUUGACAGUUUGGGGUGGAAAGUUGUACUACUUCAGCUCUUAUAAACUCAACUGGUCAAGCAGUCGUGCUUUCUGUGUUUCAAAAGGAACUGAUCUGGUGAUCAUAACCAGC